UGACCUAUAAUUCUUACUUGAAAGGAGCCCCAUUAUAUAGGCCCUUCCAAGAAUCCAGAGGCUGUUAAUGCUGUAUGGGACUAUGGUCUUUACUAUGUUUUUACCUUUGGUUUUCAUAAUAAAAUGCAGUUCAUCCAGGAAGUAGCCCACAGCCUGACAAUACUUGUUAACUAACUGCAUUCUAGUAGUCCCUUGGCUGCGGUUCAUUUUGUUAUUACAGCAACAGCAAUCUGAAUCUUGACCCUGUGGCCCCGCCUCAGGGUGGAGAGUCCUGAUGGGGCCUGUUACGAGGGUGGGCACUCAUGCUUUCUCUUGAGCUCGAUUUAAAGACUCAUCAAAACGCUUACCCCUAAAGUUUUAUAUUGAACCUUAGAACUGAAUCACCUCUAAUUGAAUUGAACAAGCAGCCAAUAACUUAGCCGUUCGUCGAAUCCAGUUUCGCAGGUGUUGGAACAGACUGCUGUCCUGUGUGCUGCAGAGUCUGUCCCUUGUUGGCACUUAGGAAGAUCCAGUUCCUCCCUCACUGGAAGUCUGCGCUUCUCAAGCGGAAGGGUUAAGCCUCUGGGGUUGCUUGCAGUGAUAGGCAGCCACUGAUGUCUUUUUAGUCAGUGGCCUUUGGGCCCUGGUCUUCAGUGUCAGCACUAGGGUUUGUUUGUCGUCUU
Molecule: long non-coding RNA, 662 nt
Filed under: Mus musculus (house mouse)
Lineage: Eukaryota; Metazoa; Chordata; Mammalia; Rodentia; Muridae
Description: long non-coding RNA chr15:78821791-78822453
Source: RNAcentral